GAGGAGCAAUCCCUUUUCGAGGCUCCUUAGACCAGAUGAGCAACGUCUCCCCAGCUUUGGACGCCGCGGCAGGAGGAGCCGUGUUAUUGGUCAGAAAGCCGGGCGGGACGGCAGACGAGGCUGCUCGCUGGGAACAACUAUUUAGCCGUCCUGACGCAAGUCGUCCACCUUUUCCGAACUUUAAUCUCCCACCUCUUAAGUCUUAGGAGCAUGAAUCGGCACGCCCAGGCUUGCUAAGAUGACCCAAAUGCAAAUGAGAGCCUGACCAAAACAUUUUUAAACUCUGUAUACGGAGUUAUUUUGAAAUCAGGACCAGAGCUAACUCUGCAGGAAGGAGGAAAAAACUUGAAAAAGAGCAUGUCCACAAAACAUCUCGUGACCUACAGAAGAGAAAACAGACCAUCAAGCUAGAAGGAGAAAAGACUGAUUGAGGGGAAGAUCAGAGUGGAUGAGAGAGAGAGAAGCUAUCUAGAGUAAAGGACCCAACUUCUGGUUCAACCAGAAGAGGAAGUAGAAGAUAAAAACUGCACUCAGAGAGACGGAGGGAAUUGUUAGAAAGAGAAUCCACUAUCCUCCAUGGAGACAGACACUGUCAAGGACAAGCACCUGGAUCAUCUCCUCCCCACAAAGAGAUACAGGCUGGUGGGAAAGCUGCUGACCAGCAAGAUCACGGGCUCCCUCCUCUCUGCAAGUAGUCUCAAGGCCAAAGACAAGCUGGUGGGAAAGCUCCAACCAGCAAGGCCAUAUGCUCCCGCCUCCCCUACCUAAAACCCCAAAUAAAAACCCUUCCUUUUAGCUUUUUGGGGAGUUUGGGAUUUCAGCAUUAGCUGCCCUCUCUCCUUGUUCAGAGCUGUGCAAAAAUAAAAUUCCUACUUUCUUCCACUAUCCCCGGUGUCAGAGAUUGGCUUGCUGUGCAACGGGUGAGUGAACUCACUUCAGGUUCAAUGUCAGAUCUAUGUUCAGAUAAAACAAAACAUUGUCUUCUCUUCUGUAACUCUUACUUUUUCCACCUCCAAUAUCUUCCAUUUAUUUUUCAGAAGUAAUCCCAGGUGACUUGAGAAUGAAAGCAGAAGUCUCUUUUAUCCUACAGCACAAAGGAUCUCUCUAACCCUCUUCCCCAAAUUUAAAGUGAUCCUAUAUAUUCAACAGCAACUGUGGGACUGGAGCUAUGUUGAGAGGGGGGAAUGGGGAGUGAAGUAUGACCUG
Molecule: long non-coding RNA, 1206 nt
Filed under: Equus caballus (horse)
Lineage: Eukaryota; Metazoa; Chordata; Mammalia; Perissodactyla; Equidae
Description: lncRNA (ENSECAG00000043987.1)
Source: RNAcentral